Molecule: long non-coding RNA, 3036 nt
Organism: Rhododendron vialii
Lineage: Eukaryota; Viridiplantae; Streptophyta; Magnoliopsida; Ericales; Ericaceae
Exons: 2
Source: RefSeq, a predicted model, not a curated record
AUGAUAGAACUAACACAGCUUAAGUAUCUACCGUUUUUAGGGUUAAUUUCACUGACCUCCCCUGAUGUUUCUGACUAAUACAGAGACCUGCUCUGAGGUUUCUGAAAUGACACUGAGCUCCUUUACUUUAUCUGACAAUUGACAAACUCCCCCUUCUGUGGUGCUGCCAUGAAAUGGCUUCGAUGGAAUCAUGUGACCUCAGGAAAUUUAGUAUGUCCAAAUUACCCACCACAUGGCUUCAUUAAUGUCACAUCAAUACCAAAUAACAGCCAUCACCAACCACACAAACUCUCACUAAUUUAUGUUCGUAUAAUCGUAUCACAACUCACACAUAUCUAGACUUAAAUAAUCAGAUACACAAAUAGCCACAUACUAAUAUCAAAGGAGAAGCCUAUGGUACACAUCCCAUUUAAUUUUGGUGACAAGAAUUUUGGUUAUAAUUUAUAAAAUAAUGUGUAACCAACACCAAAAAAAUGUGCAAGUUUUUUGUUGCUCGGCCCAAUAAAUGUAUAACUAAUAUAUCAAAAAGAUAUGUGUAGCUACUAACUAACCUAAAAGAUAUGUAACUAUUUUGGGUUACCCUACACCUCUAUUCGUACACACAAACAUGUGUACCAGGCAUGGAAAAAAUGCGUGCUAUUUGUACCAUAUAUACUUCCAUGGUAUGCUCCUUUGCAAAACACACACUCAAAAAAACAUGUAACAUUUAUAUGUUACACCUUGCUUUCUCCUAAUAUUGUUACUACGUUAGGCUCCAUAAUAAUCAAUCCAUGGAGACCUGAACAGAUCAACCCCUGCAAGCAUUUUUUAUUUUUUUUUGUACUUUUCCCACUGGUGGACAAUUCCAAUUUUAAGAUUGGAAUUCCCAACUGUGUUCUAUUAGAAUAAGGUAUGCGUCAAAUACUGCUCCGAAUCCAAACUCAGUCGUUGCGGAAAUCUGAUGGCAUUAUCGGAAAAUAUUCAUUAUACAGAAAUAAAUGGAAAGUGUAAUAUAAAAAACAAACUAUAUGAAAAAUUUAUCUUGAUUGCGAGGUUACGAAUACCCAUAUAACUUAAUUUGUUACACAACUAUAGUGUUCAGGGUGCAUUUCCCCUGAACUAAAUGGACUAUAGGCUAACGGCAAUAGUCAAGUUGUUUCUGUUAAAUGAUAUUUUAGUUGCUUAGCAAAAUAAUGAUAUUUUAGUUUAUGUAUGUGAGGAGAAUGACUUGCCUAGAAAUUCGUUAAAACAUGGGCUGUCUAUUUAGUUUACUGAAAACGCACCCUCAGUGAAUUAAAAAAUUGAAAAGAUCUCAAUGGAGCGUACCAAGAUGCACUACACUCCGUAGUGCGUUAGUGCACUACAAGAACCCCUUGUCCAAUCAUCCUCAAAAAUUUUCUUUUUGUAAGACCAAAUUGAGAUGUGAAGUGUGUGAUUGUGGUAAUGCUCGUGGGCUAUAAUUCAAACCAAACAGUUUUUUUUUUAAAUUAUAUUUACCCUUAGUGAACUUUAAAAAGUUUUUAGUGGUAAUUUUUAACUUUUCUUUCUCACCAAAACGAAUCAAUAAACCUCAUAACCAAACCAAACCAAACCAAACCGAGUUUUAUGUCCCAAUCACUUGGGGUCGGCUAAAAUCAAUAAACCCCAUAUAUUUAACAAUGUUCUAAAAGUUGCUAGGCGCUAGUCGGGCAAUCAGCCACCUUCGAGCUUUGAGGUCUAGUAAUCAGCAAUUAGUCGGCGCAUACCAAUUAAUAAUUGGCGAUUAAUCAGCUCAUAGCAAUUAGUCAGAUCUAGUAGAAUAGACCCCGCCAACAAUUAAUUGCCGAUUAAUUUUGAUUUUUAGAACACUAAUAUUUAAUGCAAAACUAUCAUUCACAAAAGACGAAAUUUAGAAAAGUAAUCAAAUAAUAAAUCACUGUGCUUCUCUCUUUAAUGUGUUUUGCAUCCAAUAUGUUUUUGUUGUCUUUAACUUUUUCAAUUCUUGAGCUCUAAGAAAAAUACAAGAGACUACAUCAAAAUGAUUAAAAUAUAUAAAAGAUUCACCAAAAACAGAAUCAGCCAAUUGAGAAAAGUAAAAAAGAAAAGAAAAAGGAACGCUCAAACAAAAUCUUACUUGCCCUUCCAAAAAAAUCUUAGACAUGAGAAAACUACGAGGUCCGAAUUACGUACCUGUUUUUUGGUCUUUACUUUGAGGGCACUCUAGUCAUUUUGCCACGAUAUUUAACACCGUUUGUGAGACAUUUAAUAGAAUGGGGAAUCUCAUUAAUGAGCGAAAUGAUGCAAGAAGUGUUUUUAAUCCUUGGCUUCAUCUUCUUCUUUUAACCCUUGUUCAAAAACCUGACCAGCCACCUCUUCCUAUCCUUCCAAAAUCAGCCGCCACUUGAAUGCCCCCUGCCACCACACUUCUUUGCCACCACAUUUGCCAGUUCCUUAUUUUCCGUUUCUUUAUUGGAUGCUUUGGAAAGGUUGUUUGCACACAGCUCCUCUUCCUUUGCAAUUUUCCAUCAUUGAUAAAAACCAUUCAAGGGUCCGCUUAAAAAAAAUCAGUUCUUAGAAAGUUGAGAUCUCCCAUUCUCCCCAUCAUUUUGGACUCAGGAGCCAGAUCUAGGGUUUGAGAUCUGGGUCUUUGGAACCAGCUCAGCAGCGACGGUGGCGGCGUCAGCCAGCAGCUUCGGCCUUCAGCCUAUGGCGGGAAUGAGCUCAAGUUGGUGCGGCGGGUCUAUCUUGAGAGUUGCUCUACCCUUACUUGGCCUCUCCACUUGUUCACUCCAUCCAUCCUCACGAGUGUGAUCGAUGGGUCCAGCUCUGGCGUUUUGGUUCCAGGCGACUUUUUUGUUUUUGUUUUCUGUAUUUUUUUUGUAUUUUGGACCUGUAGUGUCCUUUUUAUUUUUUAUAUAUCGAGUUUAUGUUUGGUCCAAAAAAAAAUAAAAAAUCUACUCUUCAUCUUCAAAACACCAACUAUAAAAUUAUGCUGUAAUGUUACCAUAUUCAUUUCUGAUUCGCACAAAGCAAGAAAAUUAUUCUGUAGAGUUACAUAUAUGCAAACUGCAAAGGAGC